Molecule: long non-coding RNA, 187 nt
Organism: Daphnia pulex (common water flea)
Lineage: Eukaryota; Metazoa; Arthropoda; Branchiopoda; Diplostraca; Daphniidae
Exons: 2
Source: RefSeq, a predicted model, not a curated record
GCCGAUAGUUUAGCCUCAUCCAGCUCACAUUACUUCUAACUCGAUCGAUGGACUGUUGAGUGGAACGUGUCAUGGCGUUGACCAGCAGUUCCUUGUUCUUUCCGACGAAAUCCGACAGCUAAAAAUUCAGCCAUAAUCGUCAGACGUGGGCCAAACUGUGGAUCGAGUUGAAACUACACGGAGAGAG